This is an RNA transcript of Piliocolobus tephrosceles (Ugandan red Colobus), 3728 nucleotides long. RefSeq lists it as uncharacterized. The record is from RefSeq and is a predicted model, not a curated record. The transcript has 2 exons. Lineage: Eukaryota; Metazoa; Chordata; Mammalia; Primates; Cercopithecidae.
UCAAAGAGGCUUCUCAAGCAGGGUGGGCAGUGGGAGCUGCUAUGGAAUCAAUGGACAAACAUUGACAGGGACUGCUUUGAGAGACAGUACUCAGUUGAGUAUACUCUGUUAAGGGCUCAAACUUUAUAGUCAUUCCUUAAACACUGCCUGAUGGAAUCUUCAGGAUCAUAUUUUGAAGUAAACUAUAUUUUACAAUGUGAUAUAAAUCAAAUGAGUUUUUUUUUUUUUUUAAAUUAGGAAUUUCCAUAAGUACAAAGCCAUUUUAAGGUGUACAUUUUAGAGACUAGCUAUUAUUCAGUGGUCUGUGCAUUUGUGUAAACCAUAAAGAUCUUUCCAGAGGAAGCAAGUCUGUUAUACCAGGAUAUGAAAACGCCCCAGCCCCAGGCUUGAGUAGCCUAGAUCACAUGAAGCUGGCUUCCUCUGAGGAGUCUAGGACCUCAGAUACAGGUGGGAGCACACAGUCACCCUUCUGGAAACAGCUAAGACUUGCAGCUCAGGCCUGUGACCUUGCUGAUGACAAAGGAAGAGGUCAGGGUUGACUAGAGCUCCAGAAAGAAUGCAAGUGUGUCUGGAAGGCAGGAAGAAAGUUACUGCAAUACUUUAUCCUCAGGGUGGAACGAGAGUCUGGGAAAGCUGUACCCACUUCCCCAUUCCUCCCAGGUCCCAGCUGUGGUAUAAGGAGAGUUGGCCCAAUCUGGGAGCUAAGGGACCUGAGACAUCCAUCUACUGCAUCAGUGCACUCAGAAAUGAGGCUUUUGGCAGUUAUUCAUGAGACAUCAGCCCCUCACAUAAAACAUGCCUCCAGUUUGGUUAAACUAGGAAGCACUAUAUAACAUUUUAAAAUCAGUUACAUGUCACUGAUAAAAGACAAUAUUACCCUGACGUUACUUUUCUUGAGGCAACGUGAAACCCAUUGUCUACAGAAGAUCCAAAAAUUAGCCAGAUCUGGUGUGCAGCUGUAGUCCCAACUGCUUAGGAGGCUGAGGUGGGAAGACUACUUGAGCCAAGGAGGUAGAGGUUGGAGUGAGCCCAGAUCAUGCCACUUGCACUCCAGCCUGGGCAACAGAGUGAGGCCCUGUCUCAAAAAAAAAAAAAAGAAUUUAUGAAAGUUUGGAGAACCAGGAAUAAGACUGGGUGGGAAGUAGGAAUGACAGGUACUUUUAACAAUACAGCUGGGGUGUUGAUGAUGUGAAUGAACCCCAAUCUUACUGUAGUCAUUUGCUCAAGAUUCGAAGUCAUGAAGGAGUAGAAUGGACCAAACUUAGGUACUAAGAGUCCCCCGCCCAGCAGUGAAAACAGUAUAUAGUUCCUUUGACUUUAAUAUGGGGAGACAGGUUCCUGGAUUGACAAUCUCAUCAAAAGUAGACACAUUUUUUUUUUAUUUUUUUCUCAGACCUCUCAGGGAUGAAUAUAUACGAUUUCUGAGCAAGCAACCUGAGUACCUUUAGGAAGGGAAAAGGAAUGCUGAACAUCCCUAAACAACAUGUUUAUUGCAUAUUUGGUAAGACUUACUAUACCCUCUCCCGGAAGACAGAAGAUACCCUGCCCUUAGAAGACAAAGAGACUGUAAAGCUAUGCCUUCUAAAUCUUAAGCCACUCUUUAGGUAGUCCCUUCGUAGUCCAAACAUCUCAAGAACCCUCAAUUUGUACCAUUUGCCUUUUAUUUUCCAUUUAUUUAAUACCACAAAUUCACUUUAUUAUUAUGAAGCCAGUAUCUACAUCUUCUCACAGAUUCUCCUAAGAAAUGCAGAACUGCUUGCCAGCCUCAAAACGUGCUGUGACAUUUCCCUAACCUACAGGUCUAGAAAUCCUGUGCCAAAUACGGUUAAUUUGUUUGCUGAGAAGGAUGUAGAACUGCACCCCUCAUAACACUGAUGGGAAAACAGUCUGGAACUUUCUUAAAACAUUCUGGUAAAUGGGGCCCCUGCCAGCUAGAAAGUGUGGCUAUAAUCCCUGGCUUUUUUCCUUUUUUAAACUUUUUCUCUCUCAGUCCUGACCUAAAGAUGACCCUAGUCAGGCUGGGCACGGUGGCUCACGCCUGUAAUCCCAACACUUUGGGGAGGCCAAGGCGGGCGGAUCACUUGAGGUCAGGAGUUCGAGACCAGCCUGACCAACGUGGAGAAACCCUGUCUCUACUAAAAACACAAAAUUAGCUGGGUGUGGUGACGCAUGCCUGUAAUUCCAGCUACUCGGGAGGCUGAGGCAGGAGAAUCGCUUCAACGCAGAAGGUGGAGGUUGCAGUGAGCCAAGAUUGCGCCAUUGCACUCCAGCCUGGGCAACAACAGCGAAACUCUGUCUCAAAAAAAAAAAAAAAAAAAAAACCCUGAGAGAAAACCUGUCUUUCCAGCCAGAGGAAGCAGGAAAAAAUGACCCUAUGGUCUGAAGAAUGUAGAACUAAUCCAUCUUUUUUUUUCCCCCUCUCUGCUUUCUGCCUGAGGGGCAUUCCUUUUGGCAAAAUGGAAAGUGGGCAGGUAAUCAUCAGAGAGAGAGCCCAUCUUUCUAAGCCAGAGGAUGAGGAAAAGGGGCUCCCUGGGUGCCAGGGAGUCUGGGGGGAAAUCCUGAAGCGCAAAGACCUGAAAAGAGGAUUCUCUUAUUCUGUACAUGAGCAGAAUUCUGUGCUCAGCCCAGAGCUGCAUAUACCAGAGGCAGAGCCCAAGCAACACAGCCACACUCUGAACUGACACUCGGAUCACCACUACCAAACAGAAGGCAACGCAGGACCUGCAGACUAAGGCUAACGAGGCUGACUGCCCCACAAAACAGAAAAAAAAGAAACAUUCUUCAGGGAAUUUUAGCAGAGCACAGAGUCUCGCAACAUAAAACACAGUCCUCACUUUGAACAGCAGUUCAGAACUGUAAAAAUGACCUUCCAACCUGAAACUGUGCCAUGUGCUGUUAAUAAUCAUUAAUGGUGUCUUCAUAUCUCCAAGUCCGUUCAACGUGAAGGUUUUUGCUGACGUUCUUUCCCUUGGGACAUCUUCAUCCUUUCCAUCACAACCGCAUUCUUCAUUUAUUGGAUGAAUUCACCUUCUCGGCAGCAGGGCCAGCAUCCCACAGUCUGUUUCUUCAGUGACCCCGUUUAUGUUUGAUUUCCAUUCACUUUCAGUGUUUUCGGUUUUGAGUUUCUUUGCUGCGCUUCUAUCUUUAUUUGUCCAUUUUCUCUUUUGAAUAUCCAUUUGUGUAAAAUGCCACGUGGGUUUAUCACUGGGAGGCAAGGAGGCCACACAAUCCACACUUCGCUGUCUGUGCAUGAACUGAACACAGACGCACAGUGACCAAUCACCCACAGGUUUUGGAAAGAAGAGACAUGAUUGGUCACUGAUCAUGAUGUACCUCUGUUAUUAUGUAGUGAUUUGUGGACUGGGGAGCUAGCAGAAAGUUUGAACUUCAUGCAGUUACAAUUAAUAUAUUCUGGUAACUCAAAUUUGAACCAUGUUGUCACAUGUUGUCAGAGGACUGGUGUUCACCAUAAUAACUAAAAUUUCAGAAUCAUGAAAUGUCACUUCUGAUCUAUUCUAUUCAUUAAAAGUCAGUCACUCAUUCUGGCUCACACUCAAGGGUAAGGGAAUUAGGCCCCAGCUUCUAAAGAGAGGAUCUCCAAUGACUUUGUGGACAUAUUUUCGGAUUCUUCAGGAAGUCCACAUUCCUGAAGAAUAUUGGCACUGCGUAUAGAAUUCUGGGUGGAUGAUUCUUUCCUAUGAGUGCUUUAAAGAUAUUGUUCCACUGCA